Molecule: ribosomal RNA, 497 nt
Filed under: uncultured bacterium
Lineage: Bacteria
Description: partial 16S ribosomal RNA
Rfam family: Bacterial small subunit ribosomal RNA
Source: RNAcentral
GACGAACGCUGGCGGCGUGCCUAAUACAUGCAAGUUGAGCGCUGAAGGUUGGUACUUGUACCAACUGGAUGAGCAGCGAACGGGUGAGUAACGCGUGGGGAAUCUGCCUUUGAGCGGGGGACAACAUUUGGAAACGAAUGCUAAUACCGCAUAAAAACUUUAAACACAAGUUUUAAGUUUGAAAGAUGCAAUUGCAUCACUCAAAGAUGAUCCCGCGUUGUAUUAGCUAGUUGGUGAGGUAAAGGCUCACCAAGGCGAUGAUACAUAGCCGACCUGAGAGGGAGAUCGGCCACAUUGGGACUGAGACACGGCCCAAACUCCUACGGGAGGCAGCAGUAGGGAAUCUUCGGCAAUGGACGAAAGUCUGACCGAGCAACGCCGCGUGAGUGAAGAAGGGUUUCGGAUCGUAAAACUCUGUUGGUAGAGAAGAACGUUGGUGAGAGUGGAAAGCUCAUCAAGUGACGGUAACUACCCAGAAAGGGACGGCUAACUACGUG